GACGAAGGGGGCUAGCGUUGUUCGGAAUUACUGGGCGUAAAGCGCGUGUAGGCGGUUGUUCAAGUCGGGUGUGAAAGCCUUGGGCUCAACCCAAGAAAUGCACUCGAUACUGGAUGACUCGAGAACCGGAGAGGAUAGUGGAAUUCCCAGUGUAGUGGUGAAAUGCGUAGAUAUCGAGAGGAACACCAGUGGCGAAGGCGAGUCCCUGGACAAUACCUGACACUGAGGCACGAAAGCCGGGGGAGCAAACAGG
This 253-nucleotide ribosomal RNA is filed under the name uncultured bacterium. RNAcentral's name for it is "partial 16S ribosomal RNA". It matches the Rfam family "Bacterial small subunit ribosomal RNA", at positions 524 to 776 of the family's 1533-position model. The record is from RNAcentral.